RNAcentral lists this ribosomal RNA (465 nucleotides) under uncultured bacterium. RNAcentral's name for it is "bacterial SSU rRNA". It matches the Rfam family "Bacterial small subunit ribosomal RNA", at positions 338 to 795 of the family's 1533-position model. The record is from RNAcentral.
CCUACGGGUUGCAGCAGUGGGGAAUAUUGCACAAUGGGCGCAAGCCUGAUGCAGCCAUGCCGCGUGUAUGAAGAAGGCCCUAGGGUUGUAAAGUACUUUCAGUCGGGAGGAAGGCGUUGAUGCUAAUAUCAUCAACGAUUGACGUUACCGACAGAAGAAGCACCGGCUAACUCUGUGCCAGCAGCCGCGGUAAUACGGAGGGUGCAAGCGUUAAUCGGAAUUACUGGGCGUAAAGCGCACGCAGGCGGUUGAUCAAGUUAGAUGUGAAAUCCCCGGGCUUAACCUGGGAAUGGCAUCUAAGACUGGUCAGCUAGAGUCUUGUAGAGGGGGGUAGAAUUCCAUGUGUAGCGGUGAAAUGCGUAGAGAUGUGGAGGAAUACCGGUGGCUAAGGCGGCCCCCUGGACGAAGACUGACGCUCAGGUGCGAAAGCGUGGGGAGCAAACAGGAUUAGAUACCCGCGUAGUC